RNAcentral lists this ribosomal RNA (378 nucleotides) under uncultured eukaryote. RNAcentral describes it as "partial 18S ribosomal RNA". It matches the Rfam family "Eukaryotic small subunit ribosomal RNA", at positions 592 to 976 of the family's 1831-position model. The record is from RNAcentral.
CAAUAGCGUAUAUUAAAGUUGUUGCAGUUAAAAAGCUCGUAGUUGGAUUUCGGGACGGGCCAGUUGGUCCGCCGCAAGGUGUGUUACUGACUGGUCCGUUCUUCUUCGCAAAGACUGCGUGUGCUCUUCGUUGAGUGUGCGUAGGAUUUACGACGUUUACUUUGAAAAAAUUAGAGUGUUCAAAGCAGGCUAUCGCUUGAAUACAUGAGCAUGGAAUAAUGGAAUAGGACUUUGGUCCUAUUUUGUUGGUUUCUAGGACCGAAGUAAUGAUUAAGAGGGACAAUUGGGGGCAUCCGUAUUUCGUUGUCAGAGGUGAAAUUCUUGGAUUUACGAAAGACGAACAACUGCGAAAGCACUUGCCAAGAGUGUUUUCAUUAA